Molecule: long non-coding RNA, 2815 nt
Filed under: Homo sapiens (human)
Lineage: Eukaryota; Metazoa; Chordata; Mammalia; Primates; Hominidae
Description: HSALNT0158667
Source: RNAcentral
GUCCAACAGGCAGAACAUGAUACAUAGAGAGAACUGGAAAUAACAAUCGGUGGUAAUCCAGACUGCCAUUCUCAGGGAUAAGGAAAUAGAGGAAUGAGACAGCACAUUAAGAGAAUGAAGAGGGAAAAAAGGAUUCACCAAAAGGAAAGGAGGAUUCUGACUCACAGAUGGAGAACAGCAGGAAGGCGAAAAGGAGAAAUAACCAGGCACAGUGGCUCACGCCUAUAAUCCCAGCACUUUGGGAAGCCAAGGCAGGAGGAUUGCUUGAGGCCAGGAGUUCCUGGCCUCAAGAGACUGAGGUGGGAAGAUGAGCCCAGGAAUUUGAGAAUGCAGUGAGCUAUGAUGUGCCACUGCACUCUAGCCUGGGCUACAGAGCGAGACCCUAUCUAAAAAAAAAGAAAAAAAAUAGAAAAGAAAGAAUUAAAAAGAGGAGAAAUUAUAUUUGGAACUAGAAAGAAGUAGCAAAGCCAUGGAGGACCACAGGUUAGAAAGCUGAGGCACACAGAGAGGGCAAGUAACAGGCCUGAAGUUACACUGCUGGUGAGUCACAGAGCCAUGCUUCAAACCUAGCCUCCUGGCUUCCGAGCCCAGCACUUGGCCACGGCGCUGUGUAGGCUGGCUGGGGCUUGAGUGCUUCCUGGAUGUUUAUGGAAUAUUUUCAAGAGAAAUAUUUUCCUGAGAGCCGACGCCUCCUCUGAAACCCUGCAGCCUUCUCAGCAGGAAACAAUCAGAAGCUUGGCCUUGCCUGCAAAACUCAACACUGAACACCUGAAGGAAAAAAAAAUCCCAUUGGCAAAGCUUGCUUUUAACCGUGGGAGACACCAAGCAACGUUGCCAGUUUCCCGGGGGCCCAAUACCUUUCUGACUUUGCAAUAACUCCCAAGUUAAACAAAUUGCCAAAGAGUUAUAAGCCUCUUAUUAGUUGGAUGGCUUCCCCCAAUUGCUCUGCUGGCUGCAUUUUCCCUGCACACACAUUGGUGAGUUCUGCCGACUAUUCGUGUGCCUGCAAGUUGAGGAGCUCUGGCAUUUCUGUGAUCUACAGUCUCCAAUCUCCACUCCCUCUUGCCUUCACUUUGAACUGAAGUGCUGUCUUAAGCAACCCCACUACCCACCACCUAACAAGCCAGGACGUGAGUCUUCAUGACUGUUACAACACUUGAACCUGAUUCCAGGCUAACCAGUAACACCAGUAUUCAAACUGCAGUGUGAGGAACACCGCAACAAGCUGAAGAAAUGGCCUGUACCGAUUUCCUAAUGGUCAGAGGAUGAAGUGCGGCACAGCAACAGCUGGAAACACAGGUUACAGAAGGCUUAGACAAGAGAGGCAUUGGAGAAUACCGUGAAAAUCUAAAAUAGAGAGCUAGCAUUCGUUUAUGGCCUUCAGUUUACAUGGCAGAAGCCAAAAUGGAGAGCUGGGAGAGAUCAGUUUCACCUGGGUAAAGACCAAUCGGAUGCUUUGGGAUAAAAAUCCACUUUAGAAAUUAAAUUAUCCAUUUCAGUUUACCGCCCUAAUUCAUAAGUCAAUGUCCAACUCUAUUUGAUUUUGUAUUGAACAAAAUUUAGCUGUUAUACCAACUUCUGUUUCUGCAUGAAUUUACAUAUAACAUAAGAUCUCUGUGGACUGGGUGUGGUGACUUGCAUCUGUAAUCCCAGCACUUUGGGAGGCUAAGGUUGCAGGGUCACUUCAGCCAGGGAGUUUGAGACCAGACUAGGCAAUAUAGUGAGACCUCGUCUCUACAAAAAAUUUAAAAAACAAACCAAAAACAGCCAAAUGUGGUGGUGCACGUCUAUAGUCCCAGCUACUCUGGAGGCUGAGGUGAGAGGAUUGCUUGAGCCCAGGGGGUCAGAGGCUGCAGUGAGCUGGGAUCACACCACUGCACACCAGCCUGGGAAACAGAGGAAGAUUCUGUCAAAAAGAAAACAAAACUGUAUGAUGAUUAUACAACGUGAAAUGAAGCAAUUCCAUCAAAAUUUAUUCCUCAAUAAGAGCUCCUUGAAAAGAAUUAUAAGCUAAGUUUUCUGUUUUGUUUUUCUUUGAAAAGUGCAAAUUUCUAUAGUACACUGGUUCCACUAUUUUCUUGGAGUAUGAUAAGGUUUAUGCCAAGAGAUCACAUUAGUUUCUGUACACUGUUUCUAUUGAUUCAAGGCUCCUACCUAAGAUUAGAAGAAACAAUCAUUUUAUUAACUGCAGUCAAAGGGUUAUGGAGAAAAUCUGUGUCCGCCGGAUAUACAUAAUUCCAUCUUUCCUUCUUAGCACUCUUAUCUUAUUUCAUCUAGAGAUUUUCCCUAGAUGAAAUAAGGUGGAAAAUCAAUAAGAUCUUCAGAGGGUGGGGAGAGGAGUGGAAGGACAGAAGAGGAGGAGAGAAAGGGGAGAGGCCGGGCUCCCACAAAAGUGUGCAAAAGCAACCAAUUCCCCAUGAGCUUCUCUGACGUGCAGAACCUCAAUCUGAAAUAGAGAGUGGAGUCAGAUGGAAAUUGAACACGUUCAUGACUCAGAUUCUUCCUGAGCACCUCUCUGUCGUUGUCCUAAAAAGCAUUACAAUUUGGUGAAAGAGGGCAGUUCCUCUAGGAUGGCCAUCUAUCUUCUGAGUCCUUAUUUCUGCUACUUCAAGAAGACAAAAAUGAAUGAGUGGUCUGCUUGGAGUCUAUCCAUAGCAGAGAGGCCUUUUCCAGUUUGCUCUUUUCUAAUUCUUUUUAGUCACUUGAUUUUGUUAGGAAAUCAAAUCUACAGGUUCAUUUCAACCUGCAGAUUCAAGGUCUUCUGGAGGCUUCAUGCAUUUAUACUUCCAAAUCCAAAAAGAGAUCUUGAUAAAGC